RNAcentral lists this long non-coding RNA (797 nucleotides) under Manihot esculenta (cassava). RNAcentral's name for it is "long non-coding RNA (MESC_LNC004306)". The record is from RNAcentral. Lineage: Eukaryota; Viridiplantae; Streptophyta; Magnoliopsida; Malpighiales; Euphorbiaceae.
CUGGCUGUUUUAACAUGUGUUUUCUUGUACUAGAUAACAAAUAGAGCUUAAAGCUAAAAUUUAUAUAACCAGUAAACAGUAAGCUACAAUGUGGUCCAAUUGGUCCCUGUCGUCAUUUGAUGCUUGCCUUUGGAAUGGAUGAUGUGCAUGGCCCACCAGAUGUCAUAAAUGGUAUGCCCUUAAAUGUGGCCACACCCUUGUCAUCGGUGAAAAGAUUCUGCACCCAUGAAAUGCUCAUGAUCAAAAACCAUAACGAAAGAAUUCAUAUACUAACUAGAUGAGAAGGCAAUAAUGACACAAGCCAUGGCCACAGCAUUCAUGUGCAGUACAGAGAAACCAGUUCACCCACCCAUCAGUGCUGUCAAAUCUCCUCUUUUAAGACGACAAGCACUAAAGACAGAAAAAAGUUAUUAUUCACAAACUAUAAAAACAAGACAAACUAUAAGUCGUUACUUCCCCGCUGCUGUUCAAAAUUUGUCAUAUCUACUAAGAACUAGGAAGGAAAUAUGACUGGUGUAGUCCUUAAUUUUAACUUUUGGCAUGCUCAUUGAAUCACAUCAUCUAAUUAAUUGAUAUUUACCUGCAGUGGGCCACAGAACCAAACAGAAAACUACAAAUGGCCAACUAACGCCAAUUCAUUCACCCAUACUUUUUCUGAGUUCUAUGGAACAUGAUCCUAAUUAACAAGAAGAUGACCGAGAAGUUUGAUAGAUAAGGUGCAGGUUAAACUGAAUAGGCAGACAACAUAAAAUGAACCCAGCUCAUAACAAGAAAAACAAAAGUUCGAACCACAUACC